RNAcentral lists this ribosomal RNA (253 nucleotides) under uncultured bacterium. Its description in RNAcentral is "partial 16S ribosomal RNA". It matches the Rfam family "Bacterial small subunit ribosomal RNA", at positions 524 to 776 of the family's 1533-position model. The record is from RNAcentral.
UACAGAGGUCUCAAGCGUUGUUCGGAUUCAUUGGGCGUAAAGGGUGCGUAGGUGGCGGGGCCAGUCAGGUGUGAAAUCCCGGGGCUUAACCCUGGAACUGCAUUUGAUACUGCCGUGCUUGAGGACUGGAGAGGAGACUGGAAUUUACGGUGUAGCGGUGAAAUGCGUAGAUAUCGUAAGGAAGACCAGUGGCGAAGGCGGGUCUCUGGACAGUUCCUGACGCUGAGGCACGAAGGUCAGGGGAGCAAACGGG